Molecule: ribosomal RNA, 422 nt
Filed under: uncultured archaeon
Lineage: Archaea
Description: bacterial SSU rRNA
Rfam family: Archaeal small subunit ribosomal RNA
Source: RNAcentral
UCAGCCGCCGCGGUAAAACCAGCACCUCGAGUGGUCAGGAGGUUUAUUGGGCCUAAAGCAUCCGUAGCCGGUUGUUUAAGUUUUCGGUUAAAUCUAUGCGCUUAACGUAUAGGCUGCCGAAAAUACUGGACAGCUAGGGAGUGGGAGAGGUAAACGGUACUCAAUAGGAAGGGGUAAAAUCCUUUGAUCUGUUGAUGACCACCUGUGGCGAAGGCGGUGUACCAGAACACGUUCGACGGUGAGGGAUGAAAGCUGGGGGAGCAAACCGGAUUAGAUACCCGGGUAGUCCCAGCUGUAAACGAUGCAAACUCGGUGAUGCAUUGGCUUGUGGCCAAUGCAGUGCCGCAGGGAAGCCGUUAAGUCUGCCGCCUGGGAAGUACGUACGCAAGUAUGAAACUUAAAGGAAUUGGCGGGGGAGCACA